GGGGCUGUAGCUCAGUGGUAGAGUGAUUGCCUAGCAUGCAUGAGGCACUGAGUUCGAUCCUCAGCACCA
Molecule: transfer RNA, 69 nt
Filed under: Ictidomys tridecemlineatus (thirteen-lined ground squirrel)
Lineage: Eukaryota; Metazoa; Chordata; Mammalia; Rodentia; Sciuridae
Description: Spermophilus tridecemlineatus (thirteen-lined ground squirrel) tRNA
Rfam family: tRNA
About the family: Transfer RNA (tRNA) molecules are approximately 80 nucleotides in length. Their secondary structure includes four short double-helical elements and three loops (D, anti-codon, and T loops).
Source: Rfam by way of RNAcentral